GGCUUCAUAGCUCAGUUGGUUAGAGCGACGCACCGAUAUCGCGAGGUCACAGGUUCAAACCCGUUGAAGUCC
This 72-nucleotide transfer RNA is filed under the name Acropora cervicornis. RNAcentral describes it as "tRNA-Ile". It matches the Rfam family "tRNA". From Rfam's summary of the family: Transfer RNA (tRNA) molecules are approximately 80 nucleotides in length. Their secondary structure includes four short double-helical elements and three loops (D, anti-codon, and T loops). Lineage: Eukaryota; Metazoa; Cnidaria; Anthozoa; Scleractinia; Acroporidae. The record is from RNAcentral.